RNAcentral lists this ribosomal RNA (372 nucleotides) under uncultured bacterium. Its description in RNAcentral is "bacterial SSU rRNA". It matches the Rfam family "Bacterial small subunit ribosomal RNA", at positions 161 to 509 of the family's 1533-position model. The record is from RNAcentral.
UGCUAAUACCGGAUACGAAGUCUGUGCCGCAUGGUACGGAUUUGAAAGAUGGCCUCUAUUUAUAAGCUAUCGCCGGGGGAUGGGCCUGCGUCCGAUUAGCUGGUUGGUGGGGUAACGGCCUACCAAGGCGACGAUCGGUAGCCGGUCUGAGAGGAUGAACGGCCACAUUGGGACUGAGACACGGCCCAGACUCCUACGGGAGGCAGCAGUGGGGAAUCUUCCGCAAUGGGCGCAAGCCUGACGGAGCAACGCCGCGUGAGUGAGGAAGUUCUUCGGAACGUAAAGCUCUGUUGUUCCUGACGAACCUCCCUUCUAUCAACAACGGAGGGGACUGACGGUAGGGAACGAGGAAGCCACGGCUAACUACGUGCC